Molecule: transfer RNA, 70 nt
Filed under: Ictidomys tridecemlineatus (thirteen-lined ground squirrel)
Lineage: Eukaryota; Metazoa; Chordata; Mammalia; Rodentia; Sciuridae
Description: Spermophilus tridecemlineatus (thirteen-lined ground squirrel) tRNA
Rfam family: tRNA
About the family: Transfer RNA (tRNA) molecules are approximately 80 nucleotides in length. Their secondary structure includes four short double-helical elements and three loops (D, anti-codon, and T loops).
Source: Rfam by way of RNAcentral
UGGAAUAUAGCUCAGUGGUAGGGCACUUGCCUGUCACGCAUGAAACCCUGGGUUUAAUCCCCAAUACCAC